CGAUCAUAUCCUACAGAACAAGAAAAACGAUUUUCAACAUCCUGUAACGCGAGUGUUCCUUGUGAAGCACAACAUUGUCAAAAGAAUUUGAUACGAUAUGAUCCACUUGCUUAUGGAAAUCCCGAAAAAAUUGGAGCGCAGGCGAGUUUCUUCGGGUUGAUGCGACCAAUAAAAGUAUCGCGUAAACACGGCCUUACACGGUUGCGCGAUAUUUUGCAUUGGCUGUUUUACGACUGGCACCGAUGUAAGUAUAAACAUCGAUAAAACGUCGAUAAAACGUCGCGGCGU
RNAcentral lists this unclassified non-coding RNA (288 nucleotides) under Bombus terrestris (buff-tailed bumblebee). RNAcentral's name for it is "misc RNA ENSBTSG00005033895.1". The record is from RNAcentral. Lineage: Eukaryota; Metazoa; Arthropoda; Insecta; Hymenoptera; Apidae.